RNAcentral lists this transfer RNA (74 nucleotides) under Aedes aegypti (yellow fever mosquito). It matches the Rfam family "tRNA". From Rfam's summary of the family: Transfer RNA (tRNA) molecules are approximately 80 nucleotides in length. Lineage: Eukaryota; Metazoa; Arthropoda; Insecta; Diptera; Culicidae. The record is from Rfam by way of RNAcentral.
CGUUAUGUGGCGUAGUUGGUUAACGCACCCAGGCUAGCGUAUUAGGAGUCGUAGGAUCGAGCCCACCAGAACGA